GAUUGAACGCUGGCGGCAGGCCUAACACAUGCAAGUCGAGCGGUAACAGGAGAAAGCUUGCUUUCUUGCUGACGAGCGGCGGACGGGUGAGUAAUGUAUGGGGAUCUGCCCGAUAGAGGGGGAUAACUACUGGAAACGGUGGCUAAUACCGCAUAAUGUCUACGGACCAAAGCAGGGGCUCUUCGGACCUUGCACUAUCGGAUGAACCCAUAUGGGAUUAGCUAGUAGGUGGGGUAAAGGCUCACCUAGGCGACGAUCUCUAGCUGGUCUGAGAGGAUGAUCAGCCACACUGGGACUGAGACACGGCCCAGACUCCUACGGGAGGCAGCAGUGGGGAAUAUUGCACAAUGGGCGCAAGCCUGAUGCAGCCAUGCCGCGUGUAUGAAGAAGGCCUUAGGGUUGUAAAGUACUUUCAGCGGGGAGGAAGGUGAUAAGGUUAAUACCCUUAUCAAUUGACGUUACCCGCAGAAGAAGCACCGGCUAACUCCGU
This 490-nucleotide ribosomal RNA is filed under the name Proteus sp. TJ-12. RNAcentral describes it as "bacterial SSU rRNA". It matches the Rfam family "Bacterial small subunit ribosomal RNA", at positions 27 to 506 of the family's 1533-position model. Lineage: Bacteria; Pseudomonadati; Pseudomonadota; Gammaproteobacteria; Enterobacterales; Morganellaceae. The record is from RNAcentral.